CAAACCCACACACGUGUCGACACGAUGACCUGGGUGCCUUCAGCUUUGAAGCUGCUGGUUGGUCGUUGGGAUACGUGGAGGCCUAAC
Molecule: small RNA, 87 nt
Filed under: Pseudomonas bubulae
Lineage: Bacteria; Pseudomonadati; Pseudomonadota; Gammaproteobacteria; Pseudomonadales; Pseudomonadaceae
Description: t44 RNA
Rfam family: t44 RNA
About the family: This family consists of a number of bacterial RNA genes of between 135 and 170 bases in length. The t44 gene is found between the map and rpsB genes in all species in the full alignment apart from Shigella flexneri.
Source: RNAcentral